Equus asinus (donkey) is the source of this 1699-nucleotide long non-coding RNA. NCBI's taxonomy places the organism in Eukaryota, Metazoa, Chordata, Mammalia, Perissodactyla, Equidae. The record is from Ensembl.
UAAUGUGUUAUACGGCAGGUCAUUUAUUUUAAUGAAGUUAAAACAUGUGCACCUCUGGAUCCCACGUCUAGAGGGACACGAGGAAAUUAAAACACAUUCAGAAGACAUUGACCAGAUGAUGUGUGAGUCAUGAAACCAGACAUUGCAGAGAAAGUGUUGGAGAUCUAUGGGAUUGGAGAGUUAUUUAAGGUUUUAAAAACUGCUGGAGGUUGGAGUCUGUCCUGUGUUUUCAUAAGUUGAAGCUAAUGGAUACAUCUCACAGCUAUCUGCACCUAGAUGUCUGCUCUGGCUCCUGUCAAUGCUGCAGUUGUCUAAGGAUCAGAGGAAUGAGGAUGGGCCCUGAAGCUAGAGGUAGAGAGAGACAGUGGCAGCACUCAGAUGAGCUGUGACACUUGUGGGCUUGGACCUCUGUAAAUCUGGAUGCUAACCCCUGUGUUUGCCACUCCCACCUCAGCAGUUACGAACCUAGAGAUCUUAUGGGAGAAGAAGAGAAAAAGUAACACUUUAUAUUUUCUUCAACUAUCCCUCUGAAAGAGAAUUUACUAAUGCAUUUGGGGCCACUUCAAAUGUUCUUUCCCUCAGGGGAAGAUUUAACAAGAUAGAGAAUUUCAUGCACCUGAAAUCUGGAAGGAAGGCUGUCUACAAAAGAUAGACUUCAGUGGGUGGACUGUUGGCCUCAAUCUUUAUUAAAAGGAAAAUGAGGCAGAAAAGAAACCCCCACAUAAAUCAGGAAACCAUCCUAAGCUGUAAAAGUUUUGCUCAAAUGUGAAAUAUUUAUAUCCUCUUAAAUUCACCCAUGUUGUUAAAAAGAUCCCUGGGAUACUAGAUUUCUAUUAAGAAUUUUACAUAUUCUAGUUAUGAAUGUCAAGUAGCUGACAAGUAGCAACGUAUGUAAUAUAUGAGAGAUUGAGAAAAUAUGUUUUUAAUAGUGUAAUUGAAAGAAUUUCUGCAUCAUGUUACUAUACUUUCCAGUCAUAAAAAUACAUAAUAAAAUGCAAACUGAAGGAACUUUGCUUUAAUUCAAAAGUUAUAUUACAAAGGUUUCUGCUAAAAAAUAAAAUGUUUCCCUCCAUAAUACCAUAGCAAUAUCCCUUUAGACUUGACCACUUAUUUGAUAUAUACCCUCCUGAUUUAUGAGAAAAUUAGAAAAAGAAAGGAAGAGGAGAGUCUGCAUUUGCACCAUAGCAAGUCAAAGCAAUACCAGGCUAUACUGCUUAGCGUUCUUUCAACUAGUUAGAAGACACAGCAGAUGCAAGGAUUCUCAAAGUGUCUGUGACAGAAUGGAUGGAACCUUUGGCAAGCACCAUUCCCACAACUGGCGAGUAGGAUCCUAAGAGCCAGAACAUAUAAGUCUGGGAACCAGACUUGGAUGUGAGAGUGAUGACUUGACUGGCCCUGAGCUAACAUCCGCGCCCAUCUUCCUCUACUUUUUAUAUGUGGGAUGUCUACCACAGCAUAGCUUGCCAAGCAGUGCCAUGUCUGCACCCAGGAUUCGAACUGGCGAACCCCAGGCUGCUGAAGCAGAACAUGUGCACGUGACCUCUGUGCCACCAGGCCGGCCCCUGAUAUGCUUUUAAACAUUACAUGAUCUCCAUUUGUUGUUUGAAUCAUUGUAAACCUGUGUCCGUGUAUUUCUUAUCCAUACAUAUUUAUUUAUUUAUUUAUUUUUUUAAAGAUUUUUUUUUUAUUUUUUCCUUUU